UGCCUGGCGGCCGUAGCGCGGUGGUCCCACCUGACCCCAUGCCGAACUCAGAAGUGAAACGCCGUAGCGCCGAUGGUAGUGUGGGGUCUCCCCAUGCGAGAGUAGGGAACUGCCAGGCUUU
RNAcentral lists this ribosomal RNA (121 nucleotides) under Shimwellia blattae. The record is from RNAcentral. RNAcentral also lists the same sequence under 1 other name. Lineage: Bacteria; Pseudomonadati; Pseudomonadota; Gammaproteobacteria; Enterobacterales; Enterobacteriaceae.